GACGUGAGGGGCAAGCGUUGUUCGGAAUUACUGGGCGUAAAGGGCCCGCAGGCGGGCUAGUAAGUCGGGUGUGAAAGACCGGAGCUUAACUUCGGAAUUGCGCCCGAAACUGUUGGUCUUGAGUGCGAGAGAGGAUGCUGGAAUUCCUGGUGUAGGGGUGAAAUCUUUAGAUAUCAGGAGGAACACCUGGGGCGAAGGCGGGCAUCUGGCUCUGCACUGACGCUUAGGGGCGAAAGCGUGGGUAG
RNAcentral lists this ribosomal RNA (245 nucleotides) under uncultured bacterium. Its description in RNAcentral is "partial 16S ribosomal RNA". It matches the Rfam family "Bacterial small subunit ribosomal RNA", at positions 524 to 768 of the family's 1533-position model. The record is from RNAcentral.